This 2142-nucleotide long non-coding RNA is filed under the name Vigna radiata. RNAcentral's name for it is "long non-coding RNA (VRAD_LNC010894)". Lineage: Eukaryota; Viridiplantae; Streptophyta; Magnoliopsida; Fabales; Fabaceae. The record is from RNAcentral.
CAUGAUCUUAGGCCUCUCUUCGAACUCUGUAGCUCGCCCUUUGUUCAACAACACACUCUUUCUUCUGAAUCACCAGCUUUUUGAUGCCUUCCUUUUUUAGCUCGACGAUGUCGUUCCUCCUUCAGUUUUGCAAUUACUGCUCAAACCCGCUGUUUAGCAUUAUGAACUUGUUUCUCGAAGUUUAGAUAAGGAGAAAUUAACUUGAAUAGCAACUUGAUUGUCUUAACCCUCUUCUUGAUCAACUUGGCCAAGGGAAUCUUUCACUAAUAGUCCAUGAUCUCGGACAUCUCUCCAAGCGAANAACGUUGCCCCAAGUGUCCCUUGUAUGAAGCAUUUCCGUAAAAGUCUUUUCCUCAGAAGAUCUAUAAUGUGGCAAGAAAUGCAGGUGUUGGCGACCCUCUCAUAGGAUACCCACAUUUUCUUCUUUUUUUUUUUUCUUCUUCAUUUUUUCUCUUUUUUUUUUCUUUUGCUUUUUUUUUUUGUUGUUCCUUUUUCUAUUCUUUUUUUUGUUUUUUUUUUUUUUUUGUUUUUUUUUUUUAUGUUAACACAUACACAACAAUGGAUACCUAUGAGGGGGACAUUAGGGUAAUUCCUGCAACGACGUGCGAUACAUGAUAUUUGCUACCAAUAGACAUGCCAUUUAAACUUUUUCUCUUCUGAGCCUGCAUAGAGCUACGUUCAUUCAUUUGCCCCUUUCAUCUUUGGUUUACACUGUAGUAAUUCACCGAGGGGACAUGUAACAUUUAAGACUCCCUCACUCAUGCAAGAGAUGAAUCAUACAUACGACACCAAUAAACAACAUAAUCUUUUUCUUGUCUUUGGCUCGUAACACUGAUUAAGGGUCCAAUAAACUUCAGCUAGGACAACCAUGAUUUUAUACUCAGAGCAAACUUUGUAUUCCGUAAAUGCAUUCAUGGCGACAUAGUCAACAAAAUUCUUGGUGUUAGGAAAGAGAAUAACACCCCAGAGGAUAAGAGCCAGUACAUUCAUGAAUGUUUCCUACUUUUCCUCCUCAGUCAAUAAAUGCAAGAACCACCUUGAGGAAGGUCCCUUGUUAUACCUUUAAGUAUGAAUUCACUCUCCAACUUCAUAGGGGGAACUUUCAUUAUCCUUGCUAGCUGCAAAUCAGGUAUAUAUUGCCCAAGGUGGUAUGAAGUGUUUCCCUUGAGGAAUACAUCUAAGGUCUCCUCAAAUUCUUCUAUUGUUGGCAUCAACUAGAAAUGGGUCACAGUGUUGGACUAAAACAAUAAUUAUUGUUAUCUGGACCUCCACCUCUGACAAGAUCAACAAAUUCUCACCCAUUCCUGAAUGCAUUUUUCAAGGUCAUCUUUUUCAUAUCCCUCAAGAGAUUGAUAAUGCCCCCCUUGACCUUACUGCGUAUGCUUUUCUUCAAAAAGUUUGAACUUGACUGCCCCUUGACUCAAAAUUUCAUGUUAAUUUCCAUUUUUACCGUAAUCACAAUUUUAUAAUUUCUGACUAGAACUCACAAAAUUUUGACAAGACCAUAACAACAUGAACAACACAGAAAGAAUGAAAUGAUAUGUACAAGAUGCUUGAUUUUAUUAAACAAAAGUGAGGGUUAUAAGGAUAUACACAUCUCCCCUUUGUGCCCUAGAGAAGGUUCAACAUUUCAGAUUGGGGUCCAGUAUAUGCAAUCUCACAAGGAUGGCUCCCUGAACCUAAGGAUCAAUGGUCACUAGAGCUAUGGCCCCCUUCAUAGCAUCUCCACAACAGUCGAGUAAUCAACUAGAUGUGGAGACACACAUGAAGAGAACAGACUCUAGCUGGAGUUCUCACGAUAGCCAAACAGGAAGUACAUCCCAGAGUGACACCGCUACACAACUCCUCUAAUUCUAAACUGCGCUCAGACCCGGGUAUAGGGCCUCACUCAAUAGAUGCAUAAUAUGUGUGUGUGUGAAGGGAGAAUGCGAUGCACCCAAACCCUCACCUGCAAAACAACCAGAAAACUUUCCCAGGCAGAUACAAGCAUGUUUUCUACCCUAGGGUUCAAUAUACAAUCAAAUCACAUGCAAUUAUUCCAAAUAGCAAGCAUAGAUAAAGAAAAGGGGAAGAAAAACACAAAGCAAAACCACAUCGAAAUUCGCACAUCUAAUAAAAUGGCCUGACUCUCGAAUGUCCCCA